Molecule: long non-coding RNA, 638 nt
Filed under: Suricata suricatta (meerkat)
Lineage: Eukaryota; Metazoa; Chordata; Mammalia; Carnivora; Herpestidae
Description: lncRNA (ENSSSUG00005013703.1)
Source: RNAcentral
AGUUGAACAUUUAUUGUAUCAUUUACUCUAUAGAGGCAAUCUCAUUAUUACAGUAAAUAUAGCCAGUUAUGUGCAUUUAUAGACACAGGGUUCUAUAAUGUACAUGGCAAUUUGUAACAAAUACACAAAUGUAAUGGAUAUUUGGGGUUAUUUUUGAUACAAGCUUAUAUAACAAAGAUUCUGUGGCUGUGUGCUAAGGAGCGGUUUCGAUUUGAAGACUUGAAAAAUUUUUAAUGAAAUCUUGCCUCCUUCCCCCUUUUUUUGGCAGAUGAAUUAUUGAAGAAAAAGUGUGAAAGCAGAUUGAUUCUGUACCCACUUUUUAGAUUUCAGAUUCACAUGCAUCGUAAUAAAGUUGCCUCCAUGCGGUCUUAAUUCAGUGAAGGCUUUCUGGUUUGGAGUUCAUAUACAUAAUUGUGCAAAGGCUCUGUAGUGUAAUACCUUUGUGAUGUGUACAGACAUAACAAAAGUCUCUGAAGGCAAGAGGUCAGCAAGAGAAGCCUGUGUCAGCAGAGUGUGAAGGGACCUUGAUGUGCAUAUGGAGUGAGUGCCUACAUAGAAGAUGGUUGGAGCUGCCACCCUGCUCUAGACGGCCCCGGAACGGCAGGGAACAAAGCUCAAGCCACUCCAGAAUCCUCCCC